GUUUCCGUAGUGAACUGCGGAAGGAUCAUUA
RNAcentral lists this ribosomal RNA (31 nucleotides) under Hyaloscypha hepaticicola. RNAcentral's name for it is "partial 18S ribosomal RNA". Lineage: Eukaryota; Fungi; Ascomycota; Leotiomycetes; Helotiales; Hyaloscyphaceae. The record is from RNAcentral.